This 458-nucleotide ribosomal RNA is filed under the name uncultured bacterium. Its description in RNAcentral is "bacterial SSU rRNA". It matches the Rfam family "Bacterial small subunit ribosomal RNA", at positions 28 to 487 of the family's 1533-position model. The record is from RNAcentral.
AUUGAACGCUGGCGGCAUGCUUUACACAUGCAAGUCGAGCGGCAGCGCGGGGGCAACCCUGGCGGCGAGCGGCAGACGGGUGAGUAAUGCAUCGGAACGUAUCCCCGUAGUGGGGGACAACCCAGCGAAAGCUGGGCUAAUACCGCAUAUGCUCUACGGAGGAAAGUGGGGGACCCGCAAGGGCCUCACGCUAUGGGAGCGGCCGAUGUCCGAUUAGCUAGUUGGUGGGGUAAAGGCCCACCAAGGCGACGAUCGGUAGCUGGUCUGAGAGGAUGAUCAGCCACACUGGGACUGAGACACGGCCCAGACUCCUACGGGAGGCAGCAGUGGGGAAUUUUGGACAAUGGGGGCAACCCUGAUCCAGCCAUGCCGCGUGCGGGAAGAAGGCCUUCGGUUGUAACGCUUGUCGGUAGAAAGGCGGUCUCCUAAUACGGGCGUCUUGACGGUACCGGCAGAAU